Molecule: ribosomal RNA, 428 nt
Filed under: uncultured bacterium
Lineage: Bacteria
Description: partial 16S ribosomal RNA
Rfam family: Bacterial small subunit ribosomal RNA
Source: RNAcentral
GUAGGGAAUAUUGCGCAAUGGGGGAAACCCUGACGCAGCGACGCCGCGUGAGUGAUGAAGGCCUUCGGGUCGUAAAGCUCUGUUGCAGGGGAAUAAAAAAAUGAAGGUACCCUGUGAGGAAGGAUCGGCUAACUUCGUGCCAGCAGCCGCGGUAAGACGAGGGAUCCUAGCGUUGCUCGGAAUCAUUGGGCGUAAAGAGGGCGUAGGUGGCUUGGUAAGUCAGGUGUGAAAGCCCAGGGCUCAACCCUGGAAGUGCAUUUGAUACUGCUGAGCUUGAGUGUCGGAGAGGUUACCGGAAUACCUGGUGUAGUGGUGAAAUACGUAGAUAUCAGGUGGAACACCGGAGGCGAAGGCGGGUAACUGGACGAACACUGACACUGAGGCCCGAAAGCGUGGGGAUCAAACAGGAUUAGAUACCCCAAUAGUCC